Acyrthosiphon pisum (pea aphid) is the source of this 392-nucleotide long non-coding RNA. RefSeq lists it as uncharacterized. Lineage: Eukaryota; Metazoa; Arthropoda; Insecta; Hemiptera; Aphididae. The record is from RefSeq and is a predicted model, not a curated record. The transcript has 2 exons.
UCAAAUUCAAAAAUCAAUACCUAUGUCGUCAUCACUAAUGUAUGUAAUGAAAAAACUUCAAAUUACUUAACAAGAAAAAUUUGCAAAGUAAAAUAUAAUGAAGAUUUCAAUUUAAUAACAAAAUAACAUUUUUGUUACAAUGAUAAUAUAAGCUAAGCGGUUGUCAACAUUGAAAUAUUUUUGGUGAUGUUGGACUUGUUUUCAAGUUUGUUCUAUAAUCAUUAAUCAAUAAGCAUAGUUAUACCUAUCAUACCCAGAGUAUGCAAAUUUAUGAGUACAUACAACCAUCAGAAGACUAUUAAUAGUAUCCAGUUCAUCUCAAAUAUAAAACAACAUAAAUCAAAUGUUUGAUUUUAUAAAAAAAAAAAAAAAAUGUAAAUGGUAAAUUAUAG